CUCCCCUUAUCCGCCGAAAAGCAGAGCAUAAAUUUCCUUUUGUGAAGACCCCCAAGACUGAAUAUGAGAGGGUGGAAGAAGUUUUUCCUCCUCAACAGUGUCCAGAAGUUAAGUUUCAACACUGUAUGCCUAAGGUUGAUACAGAAGAAGGACAGAAAUAUGUUUGAGACUGUAAAUCUUAUAUAAAUCCUAUAUGCAGUUAAGUUACUGCUGAUGGAAAUUUUUCUGGGGACCACAGAUGUUGGUUCAUACUCCAACUAAUUUGCAUCUGCACAUCAGCAAGGUCAAUGGUAGGAAGAAAAAUGAAGAUACCCAACGGAGCCUGUGGAGUUCAUUAAUGACCUGUGUGGUGCUCACUGCUUGUUAACCUACAAUAUCCAUUUUCCCUUCCUCCUUAUUCAUAACUUGAAUUUCUUAUUUAUAACCUGAAUUUCUUAUUCAUAACCCUUAAUUCCUUUAUCAGCUCUGAUUUCAUUCAGAGCAGCUGUGGUUAGCUGUUUAGGCCAAUUAAGAUAACUUACUGCCUCAGACCCUCUUGUCAGUAGGGGAUUAUGUGGCUCAGUUUUGGCUACUGAGGGGUGGUCUCCAAGUGGAAAUUUUGGAAAUACUAUCAUUUUCCUGUCAAAAAGCAACAGUCUGUAUUUAUGAACCUCUUGUUGCUUCUUCUUCUCUUUUCUUCUUGCUGGAAUAAAGAUGCAAUAUCUAGAGUAUAGCAGCCAUCUUACAAUCACGAAGUCAAAAAGGCACAAGCUAAGAAUGGUGGACCAGGAGAUAGAAGGAGCCUAGCUCUUCAAUGAGUUCCUUCCUAGAGCAACUUCACCAAUUUUGGACUGCCCAGCUCUGGAGUUCUCGUUAAGUGAGCAAAAUCUCUGUUUGUUUGAGCUAUAGCUAAAGUUUCUGUUGCACCAAGCCAUUUAAUUCUAAGCGACACAAACUCCUUCAGCAGAUUUUAAUAUUGAUGAAAGUGGUCUAUUUGGGAAAAAAAAAUGCUUGAAAGGUCUUAUUUUAAAACAUUGAAGAACUACCUCACAC
This 1032-nucleotide long non-coding RNA is filed under the name Equus caballus (horse). Its description in RNAcentral is "lncRNA (ENSECAG00000056168.1)". Lineage: Eukaryota; Metazoa; Chordata; Mammalia; Perissodactyla; Equidae. The record is from RNAcentral.